CGCCGCCGCGGGAAUACGAGGGGGGCAAGCGUUGUUCGGAAUUAUUGGGCGUAAAGGGCGCGUAGGCGGUUUGGCAAGUUUGGUGUGAAAUCUUCGGGCUCAACUCGAAGUCUGCAUCGAAAACUGCCGGGCUUGAGUAUGGGAGAGGUGAGUGGAAUUUCCGGUGUAGCGGUGAAAUGCGUAGAUAUCGGAAGGAACACCUGUGGCGAAAGCGGCUCACUGGACCAUUACUGACGCUGAGGCGCGAAAGCUAGGGGAGCAAACAGGAUUAGAUACCCCUGUAGUCCCUGUCUCUUAUACA
This 301-nucleotide ribosomal RNA is filed under the name uncultured bacterium. RNAcentral's name for it is "partial 16S ribosomal RNA". It matches the Rfam family "Bacterial small subunit ribosomal RNA", at positions 510 to 808 of the family's 1533-position model. The record is from RNAcentral.